CCGGGCCUUGUACACACCGCCCGUCACACCACGAAAGUUGGUUCUACCCGACAUCGGUGAGCUAACCCGCAAGGGAGGCAGCCGCCUACGGUAGGGCUAAUGAUUGGG
RNAcentral lists this ribosomal RNA (108 nucleotides) under Desulfovibrio psychrotolerans. RNAcentral's name for it is "partial 16S ribosomal RNA". It matches the Rfam family "Bacterial small subunit ribosomal RNA", at positions 1374 to 1479 of the family's 1533-position model. Lineage: Bacteria; Pseudomonadati; Thermodesulfobacteriota; Desulfovibrionia; Desulfovibrionales; Desulfovibrionaceae. The record is from RNAcentral.